Molecule: transfer RNA, 72 nt
Filed under: Culex quinquefasciatus (southern house mosquito)
Lineage: Eukaryota; Metazoa; Arthropoda; Insecta; Diptera; Culicidae
Description: tRNA-Thr
Source: RNAcentral
AGUGCGUGGCCGAAUAGUUACGCUGUCCGCUUUGUAAGCGGAUGAUUCUGGGUUCGAUUCCUAUCUGCUCUA